This 1621-nucleotide long non-coding RNA is filed under the name Taeniopygia guttata (zebra finch). RNAcentral describes it as "lncRNA (ENSTGUG00000028604.1)". The record is from RNAcentral. Lineage: Eukaryota; Metazoa; Chordata; Aves; Passeriformes; Estrildidae.
UAUAAAUGUCACUGCGCUUUACAAGCUCCAGAAAAAUUCAGAGGAGGAAUAACAAGACCUUUCACUUCACAGCCCUUUCUAGCAGGGCUACUUAGAGCUUUGUGCUUCAGCAUAGCAGCCAUAAAAUGUUGACAUUUAUAAUUAGAUGUGCAUAAUAAUCUCUUUAUUCGUGAGCUGAAAAGACAGGGUGUGUCUGGAGACAUCAGUCCCUCCUCCUUGCCAAGGAUCCCCCUCAUUGGAGUUGCUCAUGAAACCAUCAUUUGGUGAAAUGUCUCAGGGCCUGGUUUAAAGAGGUGUGGAAUCUUUGCAACUCCCCCAGGGAGCUGUGGGCUGGCCAUUUAGUGAAUAAAACCAAAGCCUCCGUGUGUUUUUAAUCUGAUUAGUUGAUGAUAAUCCAGUCGUAUCAUGCAACAAAAACUGUCCAGCUUCAUUAGGCAAUCUCUUGUUUUAAAAUAACUGUGCUCGAGAGAGCACUUGGCUCUGCUGUUUCUGCUGAAGAUUGGCAGAAAUGGGUGCUUUUUGGUGGUUUUAGUGCUUUGUGAGAAUAGGAUUAAUUUGGGGCUUGGACCGCUGGGGAUCGGUGGAUUUUGGUCCCAUGGGUGCCUCAGUGGCAUUAUGCAGCCCCUCUGCCAAGGGGGCUGGGGGCAGAGCGGGCAAAGGGCUGAAGGGGAAGGGCUGGGGCUGAAAGUGGGGCAGGGCUCGUUCCUGGCCCACCGUGCUGCUCCUGGAUCGAUGAUGGGGGACCUCCCUCCGAGGCCAGUCCUGUAGCACCGCACCAACCCCGGACCAAGCACUAGGUCGGUUCCGUACGACGCCAGUCCCGGACCACCGGCUCGGAGCUGGACUGAGGAGGAUGGAGGAUUCCCGAGGAGCCGGUCCCGAACUCGGUGUUGGAUCGAGAGUGUGGAACCUCCCACCCUCUCGGUCCCGAACCCCGCUGGUCCCGGAGCAUCGGGUCGGUCGCGUACCACGCCGGUCCCGCUCCCCGUCGCCGGUACCGGACCGCGCUGUUCGUCCAGCCGGAUCCCCUUCCCAGCGAGCCGAUGCCCGGGAGCCCGGGGCAGCCCCAGCCGGGGGCGGAGCGGUGCCGGUGCGGCGGGAUGGGCGGCCCGGCCCCUGCCCCGCUCGACGCCGCAUCACGGUGAGUGACAGCCGCCCCGGCCCGGCCCCGCCGCACAACCCGCCGGGCUUUUCCAAUCAGGCCGGGCCGGGGAGGGAUUUCCUGCCGGGACGGGGCCGGCCCGAGCGGGACUUUGCCGAGUGCCGCGCCGCCUGCUCGCCGGGACCCGCGGCUCCGCUCCGGUACCGGCGCCGCUCCCGCCCCGCGCCGCUCGGGAAGUUGUGGCCGGGCCGGGCUGGGCUCGGCACUGCUCGGUGCGCCGCGCUCCGGAGCGGCUCCGGUCCGGUGCCGUCGGUUCGCUCCGGUGCAGUUCGGUUCGCCCGGGCGCCGUUCGGUUCGCCCCGGUGCGGCGGGCUGGGAGCGCCGCCAGGUCCCGGGCUGCCGUGCCGGGGCUCCCCAGCGUGCCUGCAGUGCCGUCACAGAGAGGAAUGCCGAAACGAAGGGGCUAAUGAGCACCAGAGAGGGAGGAUCUAUAACUUCCAGAUGGCAACGAGCCCAUAA